GAAAUGCGAUAAGUAAUGUGAAUUGCAGAAUUCAGUGAAUCAUCGAAUCUUUGAACGCACCUUGCACCCUUUGGUAUUCCGAAGGGUACACCCGUUUGAGUGUCAUUGUAAUCUCACUACAAUCACUUUAUUGUCGUUUGUAUGUGGACCUGGAUGUUGCCGUGUAACAAACGGCUCGUCUGAAAUGCCUGAGUGUACCCUACUUUGCAGCGUAUUCGGUGUGAUAAAUCUUCACUGGAGUUGACUUUCGGGUCGCGUCUGCUUAACAUGGCUCUAUGCUUCCAACCGUCCUAACAAGACAACCUUUGACAAUUUGACCUCAAAUCGGGUGGGACUACCCGCUGAACUUAAGCAUAUCAAUAAGCGGAGGAAAAGAAACCAACAAGGAUUCCCCUAGU
This 398-nucleotide ribosomal RNA is filed under the name uncultured Sebacinaceae. RNAcentral describes it as "eukaryotic LSU rRNA". The stretch from base 1 to 105 matches the Rfam family "5.8S ribosomal RNA", at positions 50 to 154 of the family's 154-position model. Lineage: Eukaryota; Fungi; Basidiomycota; Agaricomycetes; Sebacinales; Sebacinaceae. The record is from RNAcentral.